This 350-nucleotide long non-coding RNA is filed under the name Homo sapiens (human). RNAcentral's name for it is "HSALNT0409538". Lineage: Eukaryota; Metazoa; Chordata; Mammalia; Primates; Hominidae. The record is from RNAcentral.
AUAUUAAACUUUCACUCCAACUUUAUCUUUGUGUUUACAAUUCUUAAUUUUUUUGUCUUGGAUAAAGAACAAAAAACCUGGAGUACUUCUUCAGACAACAAGAAACUUCCAAAUUAAGGUGCAUUGGCAAGAAUGCAACAUAUUUUGAUCCAUUGGCUUGGAAGGAGGGAAUUCAUCAGAAGGGUCUACCCCAUGCUCUUGGAACCUCAAGAAGAGACAAGUUUACCCAACUCACAGUGCUCACUGCUGCAAAGAAGAACAAGCACACAGGCAAAAAGUUUUCCCAGCAAGAAUGCCAGGGUGAAAGGAAAGAUCAAUUGGACCAGAGCACAAGUGCUGCUCCAGUUACU